Long non-coding RNA from Hippocampus comes (tiger tail seahorse), 367 nucleotides. RefSeq lists it as uncharacterized. The transcript is spliced from 3 exons. NCBI's taxonomy places the organism in Eukaryota, Metazoa, Chordata, Actinopteri, Syngnathiformes, Syngnathidae. The record is from RefSeq and is a predicted model, not a curated record.
UAUUGAAGACCCAAAAUGGACCGUUCCUAAGUACGCCAGGCUGUAGUGACGGUUCUCCGCAGAAACAAAAACAAAUCUAUAAAUGGCUCUGACACCAGCAGUUACAGAAUUAUGUGAGAAUCCAAAUGACGUCUUCUUUGAUGUGUGCAAGUUGUUACUUUCCUACGCCGACAAUAUUUUAAGGGAUCCCAAUGUGGAAAAAUAUAGAUCAAUCCAGAUCGGCAGUCCUACUUUUUCGAGCAAGCUGCUGCCAUUCAGCGGUGCUGUGGAAUGCCUCUUCGAGAUGGGCUUUGAGGAGUCUGACACACACUUGGUGUUCUCAAAAUCAGCAUCGUUGGAGCAACUGAAGGUUAUCAGGGAGUCCAUA